RNAcentral lists this ribosomal RNA (463 nucleotides) under uncultured bacterium. Its description in RNAcentral is "bacterial SSU rRNA". It matches the Rfam family "Bacterial small subunit ribosomal RNA", at positions 32 to 507 of the family's 1533-position model. The record is from RNAcentral.
GACAACGCUGGCGGCGUGCCUAACACAUGCAAGUCGAACGGGGCAAUUUCUUCGGAGAUUGCUUAGUGGCGAACGGGUGAGUAACGCGUGAGAAACCUGCCUUUCAGUGGGGGACAACAGUUGGAAACGACUGCUAAUACCGCAUAAUGUUAUUUGGGGGCAUCCCUGAAUAACCAAAGCUUUAUGUGCUGAAAGAUGGUCUCGCGUCUGAUUAGCUAGUUGGUGAGGUAACGGCUCACCAAGGCGACGAUCAGUAGCCGGUCUGAGAGGAUGAACGGCCACAUUGGGACUGAGAUACGGCCCAGACUCCUACGGGAGGCAGCAGUGGGGAAUAUUGGGCAAUGGGGGAAACCCUGACCCAGCAACGCCGCGUGAAGGAAGAAGGCCUUCGGGUUGUAAACUUCUUUUAGCAGGGACGAAGAACGUGACGGUACCUGCAGAAAAAGCAACGGCUAACUACGUG